Molecule: long non-coding RNA, 422 nt
Organism: Suricata suricatta (meerkat)
Lineage: Eukaryota; Metazoa; Chordata; Mammalia; Carnivora; Herpestidae
Exons: 3
Source: RefSeq, a predicted model, not a curated record
AGCCACUUCACAGCCUGGUGAGAACUGAAUGAGUUAACUGUGUGAAUGGUCCACAUACUAUACAGUCUACAUGAUUAUCAGAGCCUGGGUUUUCAAAUUAGAUGCCAUGUGACAAGUCAAAAAACAAGUCAAUUAGGAAGGGCAUGGUAUAAAGCCUCCAGGUCUCCAGUUCCCUUCCCCAGAAGAAGCAAACAUUGCCAGUUUCUUACAAAUCAUUCCAGAGAUAUUUUAUUCAUUCUAAGUAUGUAUGUACAUUUUAUGCCUGUUUCUGGACAACUUCUGGACAACUGCAUAAAACUUUGUGCUCCUUGUUUAUUCACUGGACAUACAAGGAAUAAUUUUACAUCAUUACUUAAAAAAUUCAAGUUUGUUCUUAUGGAUGAAGAAUAGUUGAUAGUAUAGAUAAAAAAAGAAAAGAGCAA